Long non-coding RNA from Pseudophryne corroboree (corroboree frog), 486 nucleotides. RefSeq lists it as uncharacterized. The record is from RefSeq and is a predicted model, not a curated record. Lineage: Eukaryota; Metazoa; Chordata; Amphibia; Anura; Myobatrachidae. The transcript is spliced from 3 exons.
GGAUCAGCAGAAAUUGUUGGGUUCUUUUUAAAAGUGUUUUGAACAACCUUCCUGAGUAAUGCAAUUUUCAUGGCUAUAAUUGGGGGAAGCAGUCAGGAUCCCUGCUGCUGGAUUCCUGCGUCGGUAUGCUGACAGCCAGAAUGCAGAAUAAGAGAAACACUGCGGCACUGGAGAGGUCUUGCGGAGUAUCCUUCCCAAGGUGCAGGAACCAGCGUGGAUGAAGUGACAGGACAGUUCCCUUGCUGUACCAUGGUCGACCUACAUGUGAUGUGGACCUGAACCUCCGCCAUGUAGCUGACAACCCCCCUCAGGUCUUGCGGAGUAUCCUUCCCAAGGUGCAGGAACCAGCAUGGAUGAAAAGGGACACGACAGUUCCCCUGCUGUACCAUGGGCGACCUAACACAAUACCACUGCAUCUUUGAAAUUUUACAUUUUAUUUACUAAUUAUUUAAAGAAAAACACACAACUUCUCAUUUUAAAAAUUUA